RNAcentral lists this ribosomal RNA (1302 nucleotides) under Micrococcus sp. RNAcentral describes it as "bacterial SSU rRNA". It matches the Rfam family "Bacterial small subunit ribosomal RNA", at positions 96 to 1409 of the family's 1533-position model. The record is from RNAcentral. Lineage: Bacteria; Bacillati; Actinomycetota; Actinomycetes; Micrococcales; Micrococcaceae.
UGGCGAACGGGUGAGUAACACGUGAGUAACCUGCCCUUAACUCUGGGAUAAGCCUGGGAAACUGGGUCUAAUACCGGAUAGGAGCGUCCACCGCAUGGUGGGUGUUGGAAAGAUUUAUCGGUUUUGGAUGGACUCGCGGCCUAUCAGCUUGUUGGUGAGGUAAUGGCUCACCAAGGCGACGACGGGUAGCCGGCCUGAGAGGGUGACCGGCCACACUGGGACUGAGACACGGCCCAGACUCCUACGGGAGGCAGCAGUGGGGAAUAUUGCACAAUGGGCGCAAGCCUGAUGCAGCGACGCCGCGUGAGGGAUGACGGCCUUCGGGUUGUAAACCUCUUUCAGUAGGGAAGAAGCGAAAGUGACGGUACCUGCAGAAGAAGCACCGGCUAACUACGUGCCAGCAGCCGCGGUAAUACGUAGGGUGCGAGCGUUAUCCGGAAUUAUUGGGCGUAAAGAGCUCGUAGGCGGUUUGUCGCGUCUGUCGUGAAAGUCCGGGGCUUAACCCCGGAUCUGCGGUGGGUACGGGCAGACUAGAGUGCAGUAGGGGAGACUGGAAUUCCUGGUGUAGCGGUGGAAUGCGCAGAUAUCAGGAGGAACACCGAUGGCGAAGGCAGGUCUCUGGGCUGUAACUGACGCUGAGGAGCGAAAGCAUGGGGAGCGAACAGGAUUAGAUACCCUGGUAGUCCAUGCCGUAAACGUUGGGCACUAGGUGUGGGGACCAUUCCACGGUUUCCGCGCCGCAGCUAACGCAUUAAGUGCCCCGCCUGGGGAGUACGGCCGCAAGGCUAAAACUCAAAGGAAUUGACGGGGGCCCGCACAAGCGGCGGAGCAUGCGGAUUAAUUCGAUGCAACGCGAAGAACCUUACCAAGGCUUGACAUGUUCUCGAUCGCCGUAGAGAUACGGUUUCCCCUUUGGGGCGGGUUCACAGGUGGUGCAUGGUUGUCGUCAGCUCGUGUCGUGAGAUGUUGGGUUAAGUCCCGCAACGAGCGCAACCCUCGUUCCAUGUUGCCAGCACGUAAUGGUGGGGACUCAUGGGAGACUGCCGGGGUCAACUCGGAGGAAGGUGAGGACGACGUCAAAUCAUCAUGCCCCUUAUGUCUUGGGCUUCACGCAUGCUACAAUGGCCGGUACAAUGGGUUGCGAUACUGUGAGGUGGAGCUAAUCCCAAAAAGCCGGUCUCAGUUCGGAUUGGGGUCUGCAACUCGACCCCAUGAAGUCGGAGUCGCUAGUAAUCGCAGAUCAGCAACGCUGCGGUGAAUACGUUCCCGGGCCUUGUACACACCGCCCGUCAAGUCACGAAA